GAUCGAAUUUCACAGCCCUUGGUUCAGUUUUAGCAUCCAACUAUGGAUAUAAAAUAAGGGGGAAUAACCAACGACGAGCGUUUCGCUUUAGCCGCCUAGUGCGGUAAGCCGCUGCACUGAUUUGUCUUUGGGUCAGGUAGGGUAAAACCUACAGCAGCGUCAUUUACAAAGAAUCGGGCUUGGCUGGGUCACUCAGCCACGACUUAAAAUAAUGUGAAUCGCCAAGGAAGGGCCUGUCGGUUGGCAUGAUCCAAGGUUAAAACUAAAGUGAACCGAAUAAGCAUGUAGAACUGCCUGCAGAGGGCUUGCGGACGGGGGUUCAAUUCCCCCCGACUCCACCA
RNAcentral lists this transfer-messenger RNA (341 nucleotides) under Paralcaligenes ureilyticus. It matches the Rfam family "transfer-messenger RNA", at positions 55 to 374 of the family's 374-position model. From Rfam's summary of the family: Bacterial tmRNA, also known as 10Sa RNA or SsrA, is named for its dual tRNA and mRNA-like properties. Its role is to liberate the mRNA from a stalled ribosome. Lineage: Bacteria; Pseudomonadati; Pseudomonadota; Betaproteobacteria; Burkholderiales; Alcaligenaceae. The record is from RNAcentral.